AGAUAAUUUGUAUUGUUCUCUCUGAUUGAUAGUAGGCCAACUGUGCUGAUGUUAUUCUUGUUACAGCCUAGAAGAGUGGCUGAGAAUCUUCCAGGAUUUUUACAGCUUGAAUCUAAACCUUAGCCAACUCCAUAGAACACAGGCAGAGUAGUGAUAUCGCAGUCAGUGAGCAUUGCCGGAGAACUUCAACUUCCUGGAUGUGGUGAAGAAAAAGCAUGUCUCCAGAUAUUUUCACCCUGAGAAGGUGACUCGUGGUCCUACAGCAGCAGAAGGGGCAAGGAAUGCCCCAGCAUUUCCCUGGAGAAGCGGGUUGGACCCACUGAGCAAGUCCCGCUGUAGGGUAUGUUGGGAUGCUGCCUGGAAAUGUGAACCAUGAAAAAGCUGUCCUUGGUGGCCAAGUCGUGUCCUGCAUACAAACAGUGGCACUCAGACCCUCUGUUUGGUGCUAAUUUGCAUUACAGAGGAAGCUGCGUCAUUCAGGGUGGAAAGAAAAAGCAAAUCAGCUCUUUUUAAUGCUGGUGAACCACCAACGAGCUGCCCACCUUUUAUUUACUGUAAGGCUGGAGUUCUAUGUGGCAGCACAAUUGUGUAUCUCUGCACAAUUACAGCACUGCCUCUCCUCACUGCAGACAAAGAAGGGAAGGCAUUCACUUGCUCCUGCCUGAAAGCUGCCUUCAGCUAUUCGUGAAACCAUAGAUACAUCUGCUUGGACCGUCCAAUCCCCGGUGCUUCCCCCGGAGGGGGAAUAUCCAGACAUUGUCAUUUCAGCACAAGAAGCUGGAUGCAUUUAUUAAUCAACCUUUUUGCUGAGUGGAAGUCUGGCUGCUCUCUCCUACCAUAGUCUAAAUCCCUCAGUCUGCUUCUAUUACAAGACUUACACAAAAGAACAUUUUCUUCCACUCUUUCUUACAGAAAUGGGAAGACCUGAAUGCUUUCCUUUUUCUCUUCCCUGGGUCUUCUUUUGACUGACUGGGAUUUUUCACGGCUGUAUCAGAAAGUUGGACAUCCCCCUUUGUUUCGGAAGCAUUUGGUGAUGGAUCACAUUUUAAUUGGCGUUGAGGUUUACAGAAAAAGGGAGCACCACAGGAAGUUAUUAGAAUAACAACACUACGCAUCUGCACAGGAAUUAAAACUGCAAAUGUAGGGGGCAUAUUAAUUGCUACCAAAUGCUUUGUUUUUCUCCUCCUCGAAAAGCCCAGCUCAACAAAAGCCUUAUUAUUAUUAUUAUUAUUAGUGUGUAUUUUUCCUGUCUUUCUGUCCCAGUAAAAUGUAAGUGAUUAGAUUUGUGGGAUUUUAGCCUCAUGUAUAAGAUUUCCUAUAUAGCAUGGUUCAGAACAUUUACAAAGGAGAUGAACACAUUUGUUCUGACAAGGAGGAUACUGAUGGCUGCAGACAGAUACAGCUCAUCCAACACUGUUGUUCCCACAGUGAGAGUCUGAGCAUGGCCUGUGCUAGUUUGUGCCAAAGAUGGUCAAAAUGUUUUGCCUGUGCUCUUUGAUUUUUCCCCAUGAAAUCACUGAUAUGUUGUCACAGAGCCAUAAUUCAAGUUGCUGUUGAAAUGAGAAGUAAUACAGAGAUUGUUAGGAGUUUAAGUUGUUAUUCCCUACACGACAAUUUUUUGUUUUUAAAUAAGGGGUAGGAAACAAAGCAAAUAUUGCCCAUAGAUCUCCAUAAACAAUUUCAGCUGAUUGAAACACUGUUUUUUUUUUUUUUUUUUUUUUUCCUGUUCAAGAAAGGAGAAUGUUGGAAAGAUUUUGCACAGCUAACUGCACAGAUUUCCUUCUUUUUAUUUUUUAAGUCAUUCUAACACAUGACUCUUUUCCACAUUGAUCAUACUUUGUAAAUUCCCCCUAAUGCUAUUUUCUAACCACAGUGCUCCUUCACCAAUAACUGUAAAAGGACAUCCCUAGAACAAUGGAUAGCUUUUCUAGCACCUAUCCUAAUACCUAUUCUAAUAGGAAAAAAACAAGCAUUAAAGAAGUGUUAGGUUUGUGGGUAAUGUCU
This 2004-nucleotide long non-coding RNA is filed under the name Gallus gallus (chicken). Its description in RNAcentral is "lncRNA (ENSGALG00010030078.1)". Lineage: Eukaryota; Metazoa; Chordata; Aves; Galliformes; Phasianidae. The record is from RNAcentral.